Molecule: ribosomal RNA, 2313 nt
Filed under: Triticum aestivum (bread wheat)
Lineage: Eukaryota; Viridiplantae; Streptophyta; Magnoliopsida; Poales; Poaceae
Description: partial small subunit ribosomal RNA
Source: RNAcentral
AUGGCGACGAAGCAAGCGACCCUGCCCAGGUCGGGAGCUUUCUCAAAGGGCUACAACUUCGCGUACGCGUGGGAGAAGAACGCGCCGGUCACAGAGGAGCAGAAUGCCGCGAUCUCCGCGCUCUCGCACGCUGUGGCAGAGCGGCCGUUCCCGGUCAAUCUGGAACAUGGAGGUACGGCCGUGCCAGAAAAAGAAUCUGCUUUGGAGGAGGCGGGUGCAAUGGAUGCGGUCUUGGUGAAUACACAUCAGUUUUACAAAUGGUUUGCUGAACUGGAAUCAGCUAUGAAAUCUGAGACUGAGGAAAAGUAUCGCUUCUACGAGAGUACAUUAGAGGAACGUGUUAACACAUGUGAUGGCAUCCUUCAACAAGUGGAUGACACACAGAACUUAUUUGAAGAACUACAAUCCUUGCACUCGAGUGUUGCCAUAAAGACACAAACUUUGCAUGAUGCUUGCGACCAACUUUUGGUGGAGAAACAAAGGCUCAUUGGGUUCGCUGAAGCACUCCGAAGUAGGUUAAACUACUUUUAUGAAUUGGAAAAUGCCUCUACUAGCUUUUAUUCUCAGACUAUGAACAUCGGAAAUGAACAGUUUCUCCCACUGUUGAAAAGACUAGAUGAUUGUAUCUUAUAUGUUGAAAAUAAUCCACUGUAUGCUGAAUCUGCUGUUUACUUGGUCAAGUUUCGCCAACUUCAGUCUCGGGCAUUAGGUAUGAUCAGGUCACAUGUCUUGUCGACACUGAAAGCCGCUUCAUCCCAGGUUCAAGCCGCAAUUCGAGGCAGUGGUUCUGGCAAAAAUGCUGUUACAGAGGGUGUGGAAGCAUCUCUUAUCUAUGUUCGUUUCAAGGCAGCAGCUGGGGAGCUAAAACCGGUUUUCAAUGAGAUUGAAAGUAGAUCCUCUAAGAAAGAGUAUGCGCAGAUUCUUUCAGAAUGUCACAGUUUGUUUUGUGAGCAGAGGCUGUACUUGAUACGAGGUACGGUGCAGCAACGCAUUUCUGAGUUUGCUAAAAAAGAGACCUUACCUUCUUUUACAAGGUCUGGUUGUGCCUAUUUGAUGGAGGCAUGCCAGUUUGAGCACCAGCUUUUUGCUCACUUCUUCCCAGCAUCCGCACCAGAUGUUUCAACUAUGGCUCCUUUAAUGGAUCCAUUGUGCACACACUUAUAUGAUACUCUGAGGCCUAGACUGAUAUAUGAAGGCAACAUUGAUUCUCUCUGUGAACUCGUUGACAUUCUGAAGGUCGAAGUGUUGGGAGAACAACUGAGUAGACGUGGUAAAUCAGCAGCUGGACUCCGUCCAAUAUUGCAGAGGAUACUUGCAGAUGUUCUUGAGCGUCUGGCAUUUUGUGCUCGGACUCAUAUUCGUGAGGGGAUUGCAAAUUUUCGCCCUUCUGACGAAGAUCUGGAUUAUCCUGGAAAACUUGAGAGAUCUACAAUUUCAAGUGCUAAUGUUAGUGACAACUCAGACAUGUAUGCAACAUGGUACAGACCACUGGAGAAAACAGUUUCGUGCCUGUCAAAGCUAUAUCACUGCUUGGAAUCUUCGGUUUUUACUGGAUUAGCCCUUGAAGCCGUAGAAGUUUGCUCAGCAUCCCUUCAGAGUGCAAGCAAGGUCAUUGCAAAAAGAGCAACCCCAAUGGAUGGACAGCUUUUCCUAAUUAAGCACCUUCUCAUUUUAAGGGAACAGAUUGCACCAUUUGAGAUUGAGUUCUCAGUCACACACAAGGAGCUGGAUUUCUCCCAUUUGCUGGAUCACUUAAGAAGGAUUCUCAGGGGCCAGGUCUCAUUAUUUGACUGGUCAAGGUCAACAUCACUUGCUAGGACCUUUUCUCCCCGCAUUUUGGAGAACCAAAUUGACGCCAGAAAAGAACUGGAGAAAGGCCUUAAAUCUACUUGUGAAGAGUUUAUAAUGUCCAUCACUAAACUAGUAGUGGACCCAAUGCUUUCUUUUGUUACUAAGGUAACCGCUGUCAAAGUUGCACUGUCCUCAGGUAGCCAGGGCCAGAAUUUGGAUUCUGUUCUAGCAAAACCCCUUAAGACACAAGCAUUUGCUUCACCCGAUAAAGUUGCAGAGCUGGUUCAAAAGGUUGGGACUGCUAUUCAACAAGAUCUGCCCAAAGCAAUGACCAAGUUGAUGUUGUAUUUGCAAAAUCCAUCGACAAGAUUAAUUAUAUUCAAACCCAUCAAGUCGAAUAUAGUUGAGGCUCAUAUACAGCUACAGUCCCUUCUGAACUCAGAAUACUCGGCUGAAGAAAUUCAGUCUAUUGGUAUGCUGUCUAUAUCUGAUCUGCAAUCUCAGCUCGACAGUCUUCUGUAG